Oncorhynchus masou masou (cherry salmon) is the source of this 531-nucleotide long non-coding RNA. RefSeq lists it as uncharacterized. Lineage: Eukaryota; Metazoa; Chordata; Actinopteri; Salmoniformes; Salmonidae. The record is from RefSeq and is a predicted model, not a curated record. The transcript is spliced from 4 exons.
GAUUCUAAGAGAACAUUCUUUAUGAUGAAACAACAUUUCCCUAUGAAACCAUGGAAUAGAUUCUAAGAGAACAUUCUUUAUGAUGAAACAACAUUUCCCUAUGAAACCAUGGAAUACAUGCUAAGAGAACAUUCUUUUUCACAGGUAUUAUGGUGUUGUAACCUUGGUAUCAAUAUUUCAGUACUCCAAUGUGUACUGCACAACCCCUACAGUCCAGAGCCUGAUAGAUGACAGGUCCAUUCAGGAGGAGUGUCUCAACUAUGUCACCAAGAAAGGACAGAAGAGAGCCUGUUUAAGGGAUGUGUUCCAGCUGUACUGUGGUCUGACUCCAGGCACCACAGUUCGUGAUCUUUGCUCCCGCUACUCACAGCAGCUGCAGAGGGUAGAUGAGAGGAGGCUGAUCCAGUAUGGACUGAUGAAGGCUCUCAUUCGCCGUCUGCAGAAGUAUCCUGUUAAGGUGACACGAGACGAGAGGAGCCGCCCACCACGCCUUUACACUGGUUGCCAUAGUUACGACGAAAUCUGCUGCAA